CUCUCUUUUGAUCGUCGUUCAGUGUACUCGAUUACUUUUUCGAGCACCUAUGUGUUUGUCUUAGUGUCCAACACCAAAUGACUUGAGACUAGUUCAUACUCACGUUUGAGUCAACAUAACACAUACUAACCUUAGCGGAUUGUUAAUGCCCAAUUGGCAAUCCUAUGGCUAGGAACGUUUUAGGAAUGAACAUAAGAGAAUGGUCUCGAUAAUCUAACUCACUUAGAUCACUUGUCUCUUAGAUCAAAUACAUCCCUUGGAUUCCCUUAUUGCUUAAACACAUGAUACAAUAAAUAGUGAUUAACAAUAAGCUUUGCCCUUCAUUAAACAUAUAAAAGUUUAAUACAAUAAGUAUUCCAAAAGCUAUUACAUCAAAUGAGUGGCUUUGUGGGCAUACUUCCAACAAUUUGUUGAAUUAGAUGGAUGAUGGGCUAGCUAGAGAGUUCUUCUCCACACAUGACACAUUUGCAUUAAAAUUGAUUUCCAAUUGCUUCUCUCAAUAAGUCAUGAAACUUAAUACUCCAGGUUAACUGUGACAUCACUUUUUUAACCUUCAAGUUCUCCUAAGGUUAAUGAAUUGGAUGGGAAAGCACAUACAACAAUUCAAAGCAUUCUCUAAAAGUCCCCUACGUGAAAAGCACAAUAAAGGUACAAUCAAGGAUCAUUAAGUUUGAUGAAAACUAUAAGCAUUGACAAGGCAAUUGUAACUAUGAAAAGCAUGAAACUUUUGCCAAGAAUUCAUUUAACACGAUCGUUUAUGAGCGACCUCCAAUACUUGCAAAUAUAAGCUUGUAACUAUUAGGUGAAACUCCCUUAUAUUUUAGCUUCAAAUCCUUGCAUGAAAACUAACUGUGCACUCUUAAUAAACAUACAAGAAUAAGUUAUCAAUCAAACGGUUAAGCAAAUUGAAUUCACAACUUAUGAAAUAACAACUGAAGGUAAUCAAUUCAUAAUGCAAGUAUAAUCAUGGUAUUGAAUAGCCCCCUAGCCAAGAAGGGCUUAGUUCCUCAUAAACGCAAAACAAAGAUACAUAAAUUUAGACAUUGAAAACAAAGAAUGAAAACACCUAAAAACGCUCCAAUCCAAAUUGAAUGGCGAGCACGUCCAAGGGUCUCCUUCCUUUUUCUUUGCUGCGGUAAAAGGGAUGGGUGAAGGUUUUUUGUGGUGAUUUGUGGUGGUGGAUGGAUAUAGGUUGGUUAUGGUGAAGGGUGGAGUGCUUAGAAUGGUCAGAAAGGGGUCUUAUUUAUAGGGAAAGGAAGGGCUACAAAUUUAUUAAUUUUGGAAUCAGAAAUCAAUGGAAAAUAGGCAAGAAAGGUGCAGGAAUUAAAGAGAAUAGGAAAGGAAAUUCGGAAGAGAGUGUAGGACAGAUUUAGGAAUGUGUUUUGAGGCACAAAAUAGGUAAGAAUCCUCUCCCCUUGUGCAACAAGAAUUGAAACAAAAGGGAAUGCAAUUUUGGGUCAGAAAAUAGGUAAGAAAGGAGAGAAAGGUGCGGUAAUGCCUAGAACUAAAGGGGAAUGUGAAUUAAAAUCAGAAAAUAGGAAAGGAGAGGAUCCCUUGUGCGGCAAGGAACGGAAAAAGCCUCGGGUGGUGCGGCAAUAUCUAGGGCAGGUUCUAGGACUUCUAGAAAUAUGUAAUUAGGCAACCUAACAUGUUUUGAAACCCUUUUGUGGCUGGAACAUA
RNAcentral lists this long non-coding RNA (1680 nucleotides) under Malus domestica (apple). Its description in RNAcentral is "long non-coding RNA (MDOM_LNC019401)". Lineage: Eukaryota; Viridiplantae; Streptophyta; Magnoliopsida; Rosales; Rosaceae. The record is from RNAcentral.